ACGGCAGCGGGAAGGAGCUUGCUCCUUUGCCGGCGAGUGGCGCACGGGUGCGUAACGCGUAUACAACCUACCUUAUACAGGGGUAUAGCCCAGGGAAACUUGGAUUAACACCCCAUAGUAAUAUGUUUUGGCAUCAUUACAUAUUUAAAACUACGGUGGUAUAAGAUGGGUAUGCGUCCCAUUAGCUUGUUGGUGUGGUAACGGCACACCAAGGCAACGAUGGGUAGGGGCCCUGAGAGGGGGAUCCCCCACACUGGUACUGAGACACGGACCAGACUCCUACGGGAGGCAGCAGUGAGGAAUAUUGGACAAUGGGCGGGAGCCUGAUCCAGCCAUGCCGCGUGCAGGAAGACUGCCCUAUGGGUUGUAAACUGCUUUUAUACGGGAAGAAACCCACCUACGUGUAGGUGGCUGACGGUACCGUAAGAAUAAGGACCGG
RNAcentral lists this ribosomal RNA (439 nucleotides) under uncultured bacterium. RNAcentral's name for it is "bacterial SSU rRNA". It matches the Rfam family "Bacterial small subunit ribosomal RNA", at positions 66 to 496 of the family's 1533-position model. The record is from RNAcentral.